AUGCACGUACGAUUGGCGUAUAAAAGUCCGCCACCCCAAGAGCAUGAGCAUCAAUCGAUCUUCGAUCUUCGAGCUCUCCUAAGCUUUCCCAAGCGAUUCUCUCUCAACUCAGCCUGCAAACAUGAAGUGCUUAGCCGUUAUCGCUCUUUUCGCCCUGGUGGCCGCCGCGGCUCUCGCGGAGGCGAAACCCACCGAGGUAGAGUCCAUCGAACCGGCACAGGCCGAGCCCAUCUCGCCGGAAGCGGCUAGGAACAAGCGAGGGUUGCUGCUCAGUGCGGCUUACACGGCUCCGAUCGCUUACAGCGCAUACACCGCCCCGGCCGUUGCUUACUCCGCAUACAGCUACCCCUACGCGUACGCGGCCUAUUCCAGCUACCCCUAUUACGCCGCGGCCUACAGAUCCUAUUACGUGGCCUAGAUACGCCGAGCAACCACAUAAGCCCGGGGGAACACGCGAAACUAUUCGACCAGUCACAGCCUCUGAUUUUACAACCCGACUGCACGACGACAUCACUCGUGACGCGACCACGUAAGAUAAUUCAUCAAAAAAAAGCAUGUCAAAAAUGAGGUCAUCUGGAUUUAUUUUCGUCAAGUAUUCAAAUUAUUACUUUUUUUCUUUACUAUCUAUUAAUAUUAUUAUUCAACAAAACCGCGAAAUAUAUUAGCCGUUAUUUAUUUGAUUACUGAAAGAGAGAUAUUGUUUUAUAAGAUACUUGACUCUUGAAUAUGGUCUGUCAAAAUUUGAAAAUAUUAUCGUCCUUCUCUUUGCAAAAUUAUUCGAGAUUAAUUAUUACAAUUGCAUCAUGAUUUAAAUAACCAUUUGUAUGCACGAUAGAGCUUUUAAAAGAAUCGCGCGAGAUAAACAGGAAACGAACCAUGUUAAGAACUGAUUGUGAGUCUUAUCCGGUUACAGUAUCUUAUUGCGUAAGAGAUUGCUAAUAGAUAUAUAUAAUACCUCUUGCAGUUGUAUCUAUAUUAUUCACUUUAGAUAAAAUGUAUACAUUUGUAUAUCUAAAGUACGCUUAUUACAUUAUUACACAUAUGUACAGCAAGUCUCUCUUAUCAAAUAGCUUACAAUUUAUGUAAAGACAAAACGGACCAUCCACCAUCUGAAUUUAUACAUUUGCAACGUGAUACUAUGAUUUAUGAUUAUCUAUUCUCUGAAAUGUUAAAAAAGACAUUAACGAAGCGUUAUCGAGAAUGUCUCUUUGUGUACAUAUUAUAUUUACGAAUCACAUAAUUCAUUGAAAACAUUUCGGUUAUAUUAUCAUGUUAUAUAUACAUUCUAUUAACUCGUCUAAAUGUCUGUGUGAAUCUGAAUUUUCCUGAAGAAAUUAUUCGCAGCGUGAUUUUUUGCAUGAUUGCCAUCGUAUAAAAUAUUAACAAAAAAAAUUGACGAAACGUUGCUAAUUUUUCUUCGUGUAUGUGUAUCUUACGUAAGAUAUUAUUCGCUAUUUAUGAAUCCAUAUGUAAUCCACUCUAGAAAAAAUAUAAUCCAAUGCAAUGAGA
This is an RNA transcript of Camponotus floridanus (Florida carpenter ant), 1509 nucleotides long. It is a transcript of the gene named pupal cuticle protein C1B, with no coding region annotated. The record is from RefSeq and is a predicted model, not a curated record. NCBI's taxonomy places the organism in Eukaryota, Metazoa, Arthropoda, Insecta, Hymenoptera, Formicidae. The transcript is spliced from 2 exons.